This 92-nucleotide transfer RNA is filed under the name Bacillota bacterium. Its description in RNAcentral is "tRNA-Ser". It matches the Rfam family "tRNA". Rfam says of the family: Transfer RNA (tRNA) molecules are approximately 80 nucleotides in length. Their secondary structure includes four short double-helical elements and three loops (D, anti-codon, and T loops). The record is from RNAcentral. Lineage: Bacteria; Bacillati; Bacillota.
GGAGGCGUACCCAAGAGGCCGAAGGGGGCAGGUUGCUAACCUGUUAGACCGGGUUUCCCGGUGCUCGAGUUCGAAUCUCGACGCCUCCGCCA